RNAcentral lists this long non-coding RNA (335 nucleotides) under Macaca mulatta (Rhesus monkey). RNAcentral describes it as "lncRNA (ENSMMUG00000053121.1)". The record is from RNAcentral. Lineage: Eukaryota; Metazoa; Chordata; Mammalia; Primates; Cercopithecidae.
CCUCAGUUCCCCUCAGGGAAUUGGGAUGUAUCCAUCUUCUGAGGAUGGAUACUGGGUCUGUCCCUGGACCUGGGUUGCUCAGGACGGCGGCUGGGACGGGCUCUGGAACCCAGCCCAGCCCUGCAUUCAUCCCCCAGACCGCUCGGCCAGCCACUACCCUGUGUACCAGAAGCAGCAUCUGUUCAACAGCAACCCCCACUGGGACUCCGGGGCCUUCCGCAGACUCAGCCACCUGGUGCGAGAGACGCACCUCAACUUCUCAAGGGGUGCUGCUGGCUGCUGGCUUGGCGACUGUGCUGUUGACGGGCCUGGGCCUCCUGCUGAGUCCUUCCCUG